This 1528-nucleotide long non-coding RNA is filed under the name Lactuca sativa (garden lettuce). Its description in RNAcentral is "long non-coding RNA (LSAT_LNC005545)". Lineage: Eukaryota; Viridiplantae; Streptophyta; Magnoliopsida; Asterales; Asteraceae. The record is from RNAcentral.
AAUAAGUCCUUGUCUUACCCGUUCGGCUAACGACCCUCCACCGAUCAAGCAAGCGGUGGGUGAGAGUGGACACCCAUUAAGUCACCAUUUUAUAGGCAACAACCUUAUACCCACCUUAUAGACCGGCUUCGUGAAUGAGGCGUACUAGCGGUAAGACGACUUUGUUCUUAUACAUAUAUAUAUAAUUAUUAAAUCAUAAUAAUAUAAGUAUAAGGGUUGAAUUUUAACUUUUAAAAUUCUAGGGGUUGGAACUAAAGUUUUAACUUAACUUUACUUGUUCCAAAACUUGAGGGCAAGUUUUGUAAACUUUCAAAACUUUUCAUUUCUUGUAACUUAUGAGUUUAAUAGAGUAAUAAAAUGAGGACUUUUCAUUUUUCUAACUCUUGUGUUCUUUUAAUGGUUUUUUAAUCCAAGAGACUUUUGGUUUUCCAUAACUUGAGGACAAGUUAUGGACUCCAUUAAAACACAUUAUGAUCAUGAAUUAAUCUACCACAUAGGUUACAAAUAAUUCCUAUGAUCAUCUAAACAUCAUAAGAACAAGAAUAUGAACAUGAACACCUUCAAGAAUCAAAAUCACAUUUAAUCUUUGUAAUUUUGAUAACUAGUUGUUGUAAAUGAGUUAGAAAAGACAUUACACCUUCUAAAACAAGUUUUCAAGUACCAAAACAAUUUAGGGUAAUGUUUCUAAUCCAUUUCCAGCAACUGAAGUCGAAAUUCUGCACUCUGUCGACCCUACUCGCCGAGUGCAUAAACCUACUCGCCGAGUAGGUUGAAGAUACAAGUGAACUCGACGAGUCCUCCCCAUGGACUCGCCGAGUCCAUCAGUCAGACAGCAAGAUUUUCGACUUUCUUCAACUUUUAAGCACAAAUAACAAACAAACAAGCCUAGGCUCUGAUACCACUGAUGGGUUUUGAGCAUUCUAACACUUCCUAAGUGUACAUGCAACCCUAAUAACCUUGGAUCUAUGUUUGUCUAAUUAUCAUGCAAAGUUGAAUUCCAAGGUUAUAUUCCUAUCUAGCAUACAUGGGGAACAAUUUUAACUUGAAUAAUAGAUAGAAUAACUUACCUUGUUGUUGCUUGUGUUCCUUGAAACCUUGUGAGCCUAGCACCCCAAGUGUGAUGCCUCAAAUGCUUCACACAACACCAAAUGCUCUUGGACAAACUUAUGAGAGAACACACACUCCUUGAAAUCGGCCAAGCCCUCUAGUGUCUUAUGUAUAGCCGAUUUUGGUGGAGAAUAUGAUUCUUAUAUAGUGUUGACACAUCUAGGGUUACACCAUGUAAACCCUAAUGUGUCAUGACUCUUCAUUUACAUGACCCAUGGGUUUGUAACUCCCAUGGAGCAUCCAUGGAGCAUCCAAUGGGUAGAAGCCAACUUGAUAAUCCAUGGAGCCUCUUAGCCCACUAUACAAGAUAUGAAUGAUUUACAUAAUCAACCCAUAUAUUUAAUUAGUUCUCUUUUGACCACUUAAUUAAUUCUAAAUUAAUUAUUGAUCAAACUAAUCAAAUAAUAUUAUUAAUAUAUUA